ACUCAAAUGAAUAGACGGGGAGGCGCACAAGCAGUGGAGCGUGUGGUUUAAUUCGAUUCAAAGCGAAAAACCUCACCAGGACUUGACAUGUAGCUGCAAGCGCACGGAAACGUGUGAUCUUCGAGAGUGCUACACAGAUGCUGCAUGGCUGUCGUCAGCUCGUGGCGUGAGCUGUACCGUUAAGUCGGGUAACGAGCGCAACCCGCAUUGCAUGUUAAAUAAUCAUGCAAAACUGCCCCGAUAUUAUCGGGGAGGAAGGCGCGGAUGACGUCAAGUCAGCACGGCUCUUACGUCCUGGGCUACACACACCCUACAAUGGCGAAUAACAACGAGCUGCAAGCCGGUAACGGUAAGCUAAUCUCUAAAAUUUCGCCUCAGUUCAGAUUGAGGUCUGAAACCCGACCUCAUGAAGCAGGAAUUGCUAGUAAUCGCGAAUCAGCAGGUCGCGGUGAAUACGUUCUCGCCUCUUGUACACACCGCCCGU
This 484-nucleotide ribosomal RNA is filed under the name uncultured bacterium. RNAcentral describes it as "partial 16S ribosomal RNA". It matches the Rfam family "Bacterial small subunit ribosomal RNA", at positions 899 to 1397 of the family's 1533-position model. The record is from RNAcentral.